Molecule: ribosomal RNA, 560 nt
Filed under: uncultured bacterium
Lineage: Bacteria
Description: partial 16S ribosomal RNA
Rfam family: Bacterial small subunit ribosomal RNA
Source: RNAcentral
UGGGGAAUUUUGGACAAUGGGCGAAAGCCUGAUCCAGCAAUGCCGCGUGUGUGAAGAAGGCCUUCGGGUUGUAAAGCACUUUUGUCCGGAAAGAAAUGGCUCUGGUUAAUACCUGGGGUCGAUGACGGUACCGGAAGAAUAAGGACCGGCUAACUACGUGCCAGCAGCCGCGGUAAUACGUAGGGUCCAAGCGUUAAUCGGAAUUACUGGGCGUAAAGCGUGCGCAGGCGGUUGUGCAAGACCGAUGUGAAAUCCCCGAGCUUAACUUGGGAAUUGCAUUGGUGACUGCACGGCUAGAGUGUGUCAGAGGGGGGUAGAAUUCCACGUGUAGCAGUGAAAUGCGUAGAGAUGUGGAGGAAUACCGAUGGCGAAGGCAGCCCCCUGGGAUAACACUGACGCUCAUGCACGAAAGCGUGGGGAGCAAACAGGAUUAGAUACCCUGGUAGUCCACGCCCUAAACGAUGUCAACUAGUUGUUGGGAUUCAUUUCCUUAGUAACGUAGCUAACGCGUGAAGUUGACCGCCUGGGGAGUACGGUCGCAAGAUUAAAAGCUCAAAAGG